CAACCUGGCGGCGAGCGGCGAACGGGUGAGUAAUGCAUCGGAACAUGUCCAUGUCGUGGGGGAUAGCCCGGCGAAAGCCGGAUUAAUACCGCAUACGUCCGAGAGGAGAAAGUGGGGGACCCGCAAGGGCCUCACGCGAUUGGGUUGGUCGAUGUCCGAUUAGCUAGUUGGUGAGGUAAAGGCUCACCAAGGCGAUGAUCGGUAGCUGGUCUGAGAGGAUGAUCAGCCACACUGGGACUGAGACACGGUCCAGACUCCUACGGGAGGCAGCAGUGGGGAAUUUUGGACAAUGGGGGCAACCCUGAUCCAGCCAUUCCGCGUGAGUGAAGAAGGCCUUCGGGUUGUAAAGCUCUUUUGUCCGGAACGAAACGGGUAGCGUGAAUAUCGCUGCCUACUGACGGUACCGGAAGAGUAAGCAC
This 419-nucleotide ribosomal RNA is filed under the name uncultured soil bacterium. RNAcentral describes it as "bacterial SSU rRNA". It matches the Rfam family "Bacterial small subunit ribosomal RNA", at positions 81 to 493 of the family's 1533-position model. The record is from RNAcentral.